Ictidomys tridecemlineatus (thirteen-lined ground squirrel) is the source of this 312-nucleotide non-coding RNA. Lineage: Eukaryota; Metazoa; Chordata; Mammalia; Rodentia; Sciuridae. The record is from RefSeq and is a predicted model, not a curated record.
ACCUUAUCCACCUUAUCCACCACAACCAAUGGGGCCUUCGGCAGGGCCCUACCCACCUCAGCAGGGGUACCCCUACCCAGGAUAUCCACAGUACGGCUGGCAGGGUGGGCCUCAGGAGCCUCCUAAGACCACAGUGUACGUGAUGGAACGGGAAAGGAAGACAGACAGUGGGUGCGCGGCGCUCCUGGCCGCGUGCUGGACUGCACUCUGCUGCUGCUGCCUUCUGGACAACUUUGACUGAGCAGCCAAGACCCAAGUUCCCUGCAGCUCUGCUACCUCCUGUUACUGCAAUAAACAACUACAGUUGCAUAA